UGAUCCAGCCAUGCCGCGUGGUGUGAAGAAGGUCUUCGGAUUGUAAAGCACUUUAAGUUGGGAGGAAGGGCAGUAGGCUAAUACCUUGCUGUUUUGACGUUACCGACAGAAUAAGCACCGGCUAACUCUGUGCCAGCAGCCGCGGUAAU
RNAcentral lists this ribosomal RNA (149 nucleotides) under uncultured bacterium. RNAcentral describes it as "partial 16S ribosomal RNA". It matches the Rfam family "Bacterial small subunit ribosomal RNA", at positions 384 to 524 of the family's 1533-position model. The record is from RNAcentral.